UAUUUGAAAGAGUUCAAAGCUUUUUUCUCAUCUAGAAAAAAAAUUACUCCCCAGGAAUGCAAAUUGACCAGGUAACUCAUCACCUCAUUACACAAAAAUCCUUAAUUUAACUAAUUGCAAACAGACAAACCUGACACAAAAUUGGCCACCUGUCUCCUAAGCUAAAUUUCCCAGAAAAGCACAGGGUCUAAGGUCAAAGUACAUACCCCUUCCCAGAUAUAAAAGCUCCACCCAAGCUACUUUCCAUCAGAGGAAGUGCUUCCUAGAAGAAGGAUGGUCAACUCAAGAAACAGUAUAACAGCUGCUCCCUCACAAUGGCAUAUUUAAUCAACUUCAGCAACACAAUAAAGCAGUCCAGAAGAGAAGAAAGAGGUUGCAUGGGUUCCAGCUGGUGAUUUCUGCGAGCAAGAGGAGGAAAGACGAUAUCACAGUGAUUUCGGAUCAGCAGACUGUAUAGAGUUCAUGAACAAAGGACUUGACUGUGAGUAGGUUGCCCCUGUGCAAUCCUUGCCGAAAAUCCUCAAAGACCAAAUUCUGGGGUCUAUGUGAUUGGUGUUGUGUUGGAGCACUAAGAGAUGGAUGAUGUGGCAGGGUGGACAGUGGAGAAGAGGAGGAGUUACCAAUCCAGAGGCCUGACUGACAUGCCUGGAUAGCCUGCACAUGGCUGACUCUGUCUAGAUGUGUGCUCUGAACAAGGACUGACAUAGUGUUUGUGGCCAGGCAGUCUACUGCUAGCAGGCGAAGGAGAGACCGCUCCUCAAUUGCCCUCUAGUGCAGGGGAAAGAACUCCAUUUUGCCUCUUGACCAGAGGAUCCCAGCUCAUCUCCCUCUGCUACUUGUUACUGAAACAGUUCGGUUGUCAAAAGCUUCAGCUAUGGAGAAGCCAGUCCAUCACUAGCCGUAAGCUGGGCCCAGCAUGGAGACAGAAACCACAGGCUCCAUAUCCGCAGGGAGAGAUGCAUCAGCCUGCUUCACUUUGUUAGGCCUCCCUUACUCCGGAAGCUGAGGGAAGGGAAAGGUGUGAGCAACCUGGAGCCUACUGAGCCCAGUUAGGGAUGUGCCUUGCAGUGAAAUGCCUUAGAGCGAGUGCUGAUGAUUCCUUACGUAGCUAGUUAGCUAAGACUCAGAGGGGAGGAGCUCCAGGUCAGUAGGUGUUCAUCCAGGUGAAGGCUGACCUAUUGUUGAAGGAGUGUGUUGCCACCGUACACAAGCAGUAAUCAGGCCUGCAAAGUCUAUUUGAUUAUUUUAUGGUUCCAUUUUACCUGUAAAGCUCCAAACCAAAAAACUGUGCACACAGACCACCCAGGACUUGUGGACAGAGUCUGGACUUGCACCCACUUGCCUUUGUAUUAUGUGUGGGGUUUCGAUUACAUUUAAUUAUUAAAAUGGAUGUUUUUAU
This is a long non-coding RNA of Mauremys reevesii (Reeves's turtle), 1399 nucleotides long. RefSeq lists it as uncharacterized. The record is from RefSeq and is a predicted model, not a curated record. NCBI's taxonomy places the organism in Eukaryota, Metazoa, Chordata, Testudines, Geoemydidae. The transcript has 4 exons.